GGUUCGGUGGUCUAGGGGUAUGAUUCUCGCUUAGGGUGCGAGAGGUCCCGGGUUCAAAUCCCGGCCAAACCC
This 72-nucleotide transfer RNA is filed under the name Argiope bruennichi. RNAcentral's name for it is "transfer RNA proline (anticodon AGG)". It matches the Rfam family "tRNA". From Rfam's summary of the family: Transfer RNA (tRNA) molecules are approximately 80 nucleotides in length. Their secondary structure includes four short double-helical elements and three loops (D, anti-codon, and T loops). The record is from RNAcentral. Lineage: Eukaryota; Metazoa; Arthropoda; Arachnida; Araneae; Araneidae. RNAcentral also lists the same sequence under 1 other name.